This 484-nucleotide ribosomal RNA is filed under the name uncultured bacterium. RNAcentral's name for it is "partial 16S ribosomal RNA". It matches the Rfam family "Bacterial small subunit ribosomal RNA", at positions 30 to 507 of the family's 1533-position model. The record is from RNAcentral.
AUUGAACGCUGGCGGCAGGCCUAACACAUGCAAGUCGAGCGGAUGAAGGGUGCUUGCUCGUGGAUACAGCGGGGGAGGGGUGGGUGAUGCCUAGGAAUCUGCCUGGUUGUGUGUUAGAACGGCCUGACGCGGGCGCUAAUACCGCAUACGUCCAUAGGGAGUAAGGGGGGGAGCAUGGGACCUUAGGCUAUCAGAUGAGUCUAUGUCGGAUUAGCUAGUUGGUGGGGUAAAGGCCUACCAAGGCGACGAUCCGUAACUGGUCUGAGAGGAUGAUCAGCCACACUGGAACUGAGACACGGUCCAGACUCCUACGGGAGGCAGCAGUGGGGAAUAUUGGACAAUGGGCGCAAGCCUGAUCCAGCCAUGCCGCGUGUGUGAAGAAGGUCUUCGGAUUGUAAAGCCCUUUUAGUUGGGAGGAAGAGCAGUAAGUUAAUACCUUGCUGUUUUGACGUUACCAACAGAAUAAGCACCGGCUAACUUCGUG